CUCUACUUGACUAGCUGAGAGGAGGUGCAUGGCCGUCGUCAGUUCGUACUGUGAAGCAUCCUGUUAAGUCAGGCAACGAGCGAGACCCACGCCAACAGUUGCCAGCUCGUCCUCCGGGAUGGAGGGGACACUGUUGGGACCGCCUCUGCUAAAGAGGAGGAAGGAAUGGGCAACGGUAGGUCAGCAUGCCCCGAAUUAUCUGGGCUACACGCGGGCUACAAUGGGUGGGACAAUGGGUAUCGACACCGAAAGGUGAAGGCAAUCUCCUAAACCCAUCCGUAGUUCGGAUUGUGGGCUGCAACUCGCCCACAUGAAGCUGGAAUCUGUAGUAAUCGUGUCUCAAAAUGGCACGGUGAAUAUGUCCCUGCUCCUU
RNAcentral lists this ribosomal RNA (373 nucleotides) under uncultured Methanomicrobiales archaeon. Its description in RNAcentral is "bacterial SSU rRNA". It matches the Rfam family "Archaeal small subunit ribosomal RNA", at positions 966 to 1338 of the family's 1478-position model. Lineage: Archaea; Methanobacteriati; Methanobacteriota; Methanomicrobia; Methanomicrobiales. The record is from RNAcentral.